UACGUAGGGUGCGAGCGUUGUCCGGAAUUAUUGGGCGUAAAGAGCUCGUAGGCGGUUUGUCGCGUCUGCUGUGAAAUCCCGAGGCUCAACCCCGGGCCUGCAGCCGAUACGGGCAGACUAGAAUUCGGUAGGGGAGACUGGAAUUCCUGGUGUAGCGGUGAAAUGCGCAGAUAUCAGGAGGAACACCGGUGGCGAAGGCGGGUCUCUGGGCCGAUAUUGACGCUGAGGAGCGAAAGCGUGGGGAGCAAACAGG
RNAcentral lists this ribosomal RNA (253 nucleotides) under uncultured bacterium. RNAcentral describes it as "partial 16S ribosomal RNA". It matches the Rfam family "Bacterial small subunit ribosomal RNA", at positions 524 to 776 of the family's 1533-position model. The record is from RNAcentral.